AUACGUAGGUGGCAAGCGUUAUCCGGAUUUAUUGGGCGUAAAGCGAGCGCAGGCGGUUUUUUAAGUCUGAUGUGAAAGCCCUCGGCUUAACCGAGGAAGCGCAUCGGAAACUGGGAAACUUGAGUGCAGAAGAGGACAGUGGAACUCCAUGUGUAGCGGUGAAAUGCGUAGAUAUAUGGAAGAACACCAAUGGCGAAGGCGGCUGUCUGGUCUGUAACUGACGCUGAGGCUCGAAAGCAUGGGUAGCGAACAGGAUUAGAUACCCUGGUAGUCCAUGCCGUAAACGAUGAAUGCUAGGUGUUGGAGGGUUUCGAUACCCUUAGUGCCGAAGUUAACACAUUAAGCACUCCGCCUGGGGAGUACGACCGCAAGGUUGAA
Molecule: ribosomal RNA, 378 nt
Filed under: uncultured bacterium
Lineage: Bacteria
Description: bacterial SSU rRNA
Rfam family: Bacterial small subunit ribosomal RNA
Source: RNAcentral